Molecule: small nuclear RNA, 157 nt
Filed under: Fukomys damarensis (Damara mole-rat)
Lineage: Eukaryota; Metazoa; Chordata; Mammalia; Rodentia; Bathyergidae
Description: U2 spliceosomal RNA
Rfam family: U2 spliceosomal RNA
About the family: U2 is a small nuclear RNA (snRNA) component of the spliceosome (involved in pre-mRNA splicing). Complementary binding between U2 snRNA (in an area lying towards the 5' end but 3' to hairpin I) and the branchpoint sequence (BPS) of the intron results the bulging out of an unpaired adenosine, on the BPS, which initiates a nucleophilic attack at the intronic 5' splice site, thus starting the first of two transesterification reactions that mediate splicing.
Source: Rfam by way of RNAcentral
AUCACUUCUUGGCCUUUUGGCUAAGAUCAAGUGUAAUAAUAUAUCAGUUCAUGCAUUGCUUUUAUGACCCAAGAAUUAUUCUGGAAGACAAUAAUCUCUUCAGUCUAGUGUCCACUUUUUAUGUAGUUGUAGUUUUGCCAUAUUAUGGGUCUUCAUA